Small nucleolar RNA from Ornithorhynchus anatinus (platypus), 138 nucleotides. The record is from RefSeq and is a predicted model, not a curated record. Lineage: Eukaryota; Metazoa; Chordata; Mammalia; Monotremata; Ornithorhynchidae.
CCCCUCCCAGGGUCGUACCUGGAGAGUUUCCAGUCCUCUACCAGUCUUGGCUACAGGAGGCAGAGUGAAGGAGAAGCCUACCCUUUCCAUUCCUAGCUUGGGCAGUGGCUAGUGAGUGGAAGGCCAUCUGCUACAACU